GAAAAGGCAGACAAUGGACAGUUUGAUGAUAUGGAUGAUUGAAAACAUUGUUUUGAACGCAGCUGCUGCACUAUAUCAUCGCAUUUGUUGUUGCCGAGUUCUGAAAACUUUCAUUAUAUACAAUGUAAAUAUAUCAAUAUGUUGCAUUCAUAGGAAGCUUGAAAGACUGUAUGCAUGCAUAUAUAAUUACAGAAUGUCCCACAUAAAGCUUUAACAAUUCGUUAGUCGUUUUCUGUCGCGUUUGCAUGGAAAAAUAAAUGUGUUAAUAGUACUGAUAUUGUUACUUCUAUAUAAACUUUGCAAAAAUAUAGUUUCACAUAGACAUAGUCUUGUAUUUUUCAUUCUAACAUACUAACAAUACUAAUAUUUAAAAAAUCGAG
Paramuricea clavata is the source of this 380-nucleotide non-coding RNA. Lineage: Eukaryota; Metazoa; Cnidaria; Anthozoa; Malacalcyonacea; Plexauridae. The record is from the annotation of a GenBank genome assembly.